RNAcentral lists this ribosomal RNA (921 nucleotides) under Triticum aestivum (bread wheat). RNAcentral's name for it is "partial small subunit ribosomal RNA". The record is from RNAcentral. Lineage: Eukaryota; Viridiplantae; Streptophyta; Magnoliopsida; Poales; Poaceae.
GCUCCCCUCCGGAGGUGUAGGGAAGUGGCGGUCUAGGGAGGAGGGUAGCGUACGGGAGGAGCGCUAGGAGGGUUGCAGGAGCGCGGCGACAGGAGAAGAAGAGACGCUGAGGAGACACGGGGUGCGGGACUGGCUGCGGCCGCUCAGGAGCCGUGAGGCGCGCGCGGAGCGUAGGUUGCGGCCCUUCCUAGCGCACUAAGGCGGACGCAGCAGCGGAGGCUGCGACCGGAGAGGAAGUGGUGGCGGGGACGGCCGUUCCAGGGGGAGCAGUACCGGAAGGAGCGGACCCACAUGCAGCGGUCGGCCGGUAUACCGUCCUGUGCGUCUGGGCCCGCUAGGAGAGGCCGGAGGAACUCUUCUCGUGGCCGUUAGAGGGGUUUCUCUAGAGUCACCUGCUGUUCGACUCCCUGGAGCCUACGUGCAUUAAAAAGCCAAGAGGUGACUUCAUAACUUCCGUAAUACUGUUGUACACAUGGUUGAACAACUAAUUUUUACUAACGGAAAGUUUCAAAGUUACUUGAAGAGUGACCUGUAAAACUGCGUAAGCGAACUUAGACGUAUAACGUAGUAAACACGUGUUACUUUUGACAUACUUGGACGUAACCUACCACAUAAACAUCCUUCCAAUAGGAAAGAAGUUCCUGACCUUCAAAGGACCAUUCACAAGGAAAAGACUUUUUGAGACACAAACAGGUGACAUUAUAAAACAAAUGUAGUCCAAAGAGAAAGGAAAACACCCGCAUUACAGCUCUGUUAUUAUAAGUCUUUCAACAACAAAGUCCCUUUGACGAUUGAGGUAUACGGUCUGGGUAUAGUAACAAGUCGUACGUAUCACAAGGAUACAGUAAGGAUACUACAUAAACAAAGGAAAAUAUAGUAUUAUCAGAAGUAAAACCGGUACAUGGAAGUUUGACUUGGUUU